AAUCCAAAAACUUAAUACACAGUUAGGUUCAGCAUAUUAAAGAACCCCAAGAAUUCAAGAAUAAAACCCCAUUGAAAUUGAUCAAGAAAUAAGCAAUUUAUACGAAGUAUCUUCUUUUGCACAAUACUGUGCAAUUAAAUAUUUCUUGCUAUUGCGCAAUACUGUACAAUUGACAAUUUCUUGCUAUUGCGCAAUAUUGUGCUAUUGGAUAUUUCUUGCUAUUGCGCAAUACUGUGCAAUUGAAGAUUUCUUGCUAUUGCGCAAUACUGUGCAAUUGAAGAUUUCUUGCUAUUGUGCAAUACUGUGCAAUUGAAAAUUUCUUGCUAUUGCACAAUACUUAUUAUAUAAUAAUUUACACAUCCUGUUUGGUGUGUAUCUCCUACCAUAUCAUUAUUAUUUGCUUUUAAAUAUUAAUCAGAAAUAACCAACUUAAAAUGGAAAAUUUUAAAAGAAAAAAAAAAGGAAAAAAAGAAAAAAAAAUAAAAAAAAAAAUCCCCCCCCCCAAAUUUUUUGAACCCCUUAUGAUUCAUCACCCCCAAACUCAAUCCCAGCCUUCCCUUUGUGGUAUGGUACCUUGCAGUACAAUUUCAGAGAGAUCCAUACACUUGAACACAAGUUAUUGUCUGGAAACUAGAAAAAUGCUUAUUUUUGGCCCCUUUUUGGCCCCCAAUUCCUAAACGUUUCGGGCAAUUACCCCCAAACUCAAUUCCAGCUUUCCCUUUGUGAUAUGGAACCUUGUAGUACAAUUUCAGAAAUAUCCAAACACUUACACACAAGUUAUUGGCAUGAAACUAGAAAAAUGCUGGUUUUUUGCCCCUUUUUUGGCCCCUUAUUCCUAAAAUUUUGAGGCAAUUACCCCCAAAAUCAAUUACAGCCUUUCCUUUGUGAUAUGGAACCUUGUGGUACAAUGUCAGAGAGAUCCAUACACUUACACACAAGUUAUUGUCUGGAAGUUACAAAAAUGCUUAUUUUUGGCCCCUAAUUCCUUAACUGUUGGUACCAUAACCCCCAAAAUCAAUCCCAACCUUCCUUUCGUGGUAUUGAACCUUAUGGUAAAAUUUCAUGGAGAUCCAUUCACUUAAACUAAAGUUAGAGUGCAAAAACCAAUGUGUCUUCGGACGACGCCAGACGACGACAACAACGACGACGACGCCAACGUCAUACCAAUAUACGACCAAAAAAUUUUUAAUUUUUGGGGUCGUAUAAAAGUACAUAGGAAUAAUUCAACACUAUCACAUGACUAUUGUUCUAGAAUGUUCCAUGAAAAUUGACCCCCUAAAAUAAUGCCAAGAUGACCCCGGGCUGAAAUAAAAAAUGUGGAAUGGACACCUGGACAUCGGUCUCUUGUAUUACACAAAACUUAAAGGUUCUACCAGUAGCGAAUCAAUAGUCGAAAAAUGACCCCACCCAUGUUCCGGCCCCCAAAUAGUGCCAAGUUGACCCCCAUUUAAAAUAAAAAAUAGUGAAUGCACCCCUAGGGAUACUACCCCAACAUCAUACCAAAUAUAAAGUUUCCUUCAUUUAAGGCUUGGAAGAAAAUGGUCGGACAAAUUAGGGUUAAGAAUAAUAAUAAUAAUAAUAAAUAACGGGACAAAAACAUAAAGUCCCCAAAACUCCGUUUUGGCGACUUAAUAAGAAA
Molecule: long non-coding RNA, 1639 nt
Organism: Mytilus californianus (California mussel)
Lineage: Eukaryota; Metazoa; Mollusca; Bivalvia; Mytilida; Mytilidae
Exons: 2
Source: RefSeq, a predicted model, not a curated record